Carassius auratus (goldfish) is the source of this 140-nucleotide long non-coding RNA. RefSeq lists it as uncharacterized. NCBI's taxonomy places the organism in Eukaryota, Metazoa, Chordata, Actinopteri, Cypriniformes, Cyprinidae. The record is from RefSeq and is a predicted model, not a curated record. The transcript is spliced from 2 exons.
AACGCCUCCUAAGUGUACGGAAAUACCUGGCUGAGGAGAUCAGUGACAUAAACCAGAUAAAACUGUCAGUGGUCUGAGACAGCUACAAGCCACAAAAACAGUUCAUAGUUCCUGCAUUUCUAUAAUGCAUUAAUGAAUAA